AGUGAACGCUGGCGGUAGGCCUAACACAUGCAAGUCGAACGGCAGCACAGUAAGAGCUUGCUCUUACGGGUGGCGAGUGGCGGACGGGUGAGGAAUACAUCGGAAUCUACUUUUUCGUGGGGGAUAACGUAGGGAAACUUACGCUAAUACCGCAUACGACCUACGGGUGAAAGCAGGGGAUCUUCGGACCUUUCGCGAUUGAAUGAGCCGAUGUCGGAUUAGCUAGUUGGCGGGGUAAAGGCCCACCAAGGCGACGAUACGUAGCUGGUCUGAGAGGAUGAUCAGCCACACUGGAACUGAGACACGGUCCAGACUCCUACGGGAGGCAGCAGUGGGGAAUAUUGGACAAUGGGCGCAAGCCUGAUCCAGCCAUACCGCGUGGGUGAAGAAGGCCUUCGGGUUGUAAAGCCCUUUUGUUGGGAAAGAAAAGCAGCAGGUUAAUACCCCGCUGUUCUGACGGUACCCAAAGAAUAAGCACCGGCUAACUUCGUG
This 492-nucleotide ribosomal RNA is filed under the name uncultured bacterium. RNAcentral's name for it is "partial 16S ribosomal RNA". It matches the Rfam family "Bacterial small subunit ribosomal RNA", at positions 29 to 507 of the family's 1533-position model. The record is from RNAcentral.